AUGGACGGAGAGCGUGUGGAACGGGGAAGCCGCCACCCUAAGAAGAAGGGGAAGCAUCGUCAUGAAGAGGGGAAGGCAAAGGAUAAGUCGAAGCGUCACAGAGACAAAGAGGCAACUGGCACUGAUGUGGCUUCAGAUAUCCGAGAAAACGGCAAGGAAGAGGCUGUGAUAGGCAUCGCGGAGGAGGGGGAAGGCCGCAAGAGCAAGAAAGGGAAGGGCCGCCAUGAGGAGAAGAACAAGGUGAAUGUUUCAGUCGUUUCCGGCAGCAUAGAGAACGGUGCUGGUGAGGAGCAGGCCAAGAAGUCGGGCUCAAUGGCAAUGAAGCCUUGUUCGGAGGGUGCCACGGACAAAGUCAAUGUGAAGAAAGACAAGAAGAAAAAGGAUAAAAAGAAAGAGAAAGAAGCUGAGGCGACCGAGCAGAAGCAGAGUUUUGAUACUACUGUUGGUAAGGAGCAAGCUGAACCUUCUAGCUUGAUGGCGGUAAAGCCCCGUGUGGACUUUGCCGAGGGUGAUACGAGCAAAGACAAUGUGAAGAAAGACAAGAAGAAAAAGAAGGAGGAGAAGAAGGAAGAGAAAGAAGCUGAGACGACUGGGCAGAAGCAGACAUUUGACACUACUGUUGAAAAUUCAGGGGCAGAGCCUACAGAGAGAGACACGGUUGACGGAAAACAGUCUAGCAAGUCAAAGAAGAGCAAACGUAAGCAUAAUGAUGGUGCACCUGCCGUAGAGGUUUCUGCUGGCGAUCAAAUCGUGACAAGGGAAGAUAAGAAGAGAAGGAAGGAACCAGUUGUGCUGGAAGCGAGCAACCAAACCCAAAACACAAAUGAAGGUGAGAAUAGAGAGAUUAAGAAGAGAGGAAAGGAAAGCAGUAAAGCCAGUCCAGACUUUAGUGAGAAUGCAUCUGCUGGGGGAGAGGAAGCUGGUUUAGGUGUUAAUAAUGAUAAGAAGAAAAAGAAGAGCAAGGGGAUUGGAGGAGGAAAAAAAAAGAAAGAAAAGGCAGCUCGGUCAACAAAGGGUAAGCGGGUGAGUUCUGCUGAUUCCGUGGAGAUGUUUAGAACCGAAGGUGGUGAUGGUGAUGGGAUUGGAGGAAGAAAAAAGAAAGAAAAGGCAGCUCCAUCAAAGAAGAAAGGCAAGCGAGUGAGCUUUGCUGAUUCUGCGGAGGUGUUUAGCAUCGAAGGUGGUAAUAAUGAAGAGGAUGUCAGCAGUGAUGAAUCUAAACGUGUGCAUGGUCGGUUUACCCCAGAGGAAGACGCCACCCUCAUGGAAGCUAUGAGGGGUUACGCAGAGAUGAAGCAACUGGGGGAGAAAGGUUUAGAGAUGAUUGGGUCUUGUCGUAAAUACCCAGAGCUCAAGGGUUGUUGGGAUGAUAUAGCGAAAUCGUUACCCCAUAGACCUUACUUGGCGAUAUACAGGCGAGCACAUACAUUACUCUAUAGGAGCACCGGAUGUAAAUGGACACAUGAAGAAAAAGAGCAGAUUCAGCAGUUUGUCGAGAAAAAUGGCACAGAUUGGAAAACACUGGCACAGGAACUUGGAAAGAGUGAGAUCCAUGUAAAACAUGCUUGGAGAAGAAUAAAACCUAAGAAGAAAAAAGGUGCUGAUGAUGAAGAGGAUGUCAGCGGUAGUGAAUCUGAACUUGUACAUGGACAUCGGUUUACCGCAGAGGAAGAUGCCAUCCUCAUGGAAGCUAUGAGGGAUUACGCAGAGCUGAAACAACUGGGAGAGAAAGGCUUAGAGAUGAUUGGCUCUUGUAGUAAAUACCCAGAGCUCAAGGGUUGUUGGGAUGAUAUAGCGAAAUCGUUACCCCAUAGACCUCACGAGGCCAUAUACCAUCGAGCGCGUAUAUUACUCUAUAGGGGUGCUGAACGUAAAUGGACAGAUGACGAAAAAGAGAAGAUUCGGCGGUUUGUCGAAAUCAAUGGAACGGAUUGGAAGACAUUGGCUCGGGAACUUGGAAAGAGUGAGAUCCACGUAAAAGAUACUUGGAGAAGAAUGAAACCUAAGAACUUGAAAAAAGGACGUUGGACUCAGGAUGAACACCAGAACUUGUUUGAUUUGGUGAACCUUGACUUGCGUCUGAAAGCCCAUCAAAUAAAAAAUCCUGAUCAUCGGAUGCUAAGAGAUAACAUUUCCUGGGAGGCCAUCAGUGAUAAAUUGACCACCCGUAAUCACAAGAAUUGUUGCCUCAAGUGGUACGAAACAUUAGCAUCUCCGAUGGUCAAGGAAGGAAUCUGGUCUGAUGUUGAUGAUUAUCUACUGGUGGAAGCGCUUCAAAAGGUUGAUGCUGUCUGUAUUGAAGAUGUUGACUGGGACAGCCUACUUGAUCACAGGUCUGGGGAGGUUUGUCGUCAAAGAUGGAACCAGAUGGUCCGCGCCAUUGGUGGCCACAGGGAGAAGCCUUUCAUCGAACAAGUGGAAGUGCUGUCGAGGCGCUACUGCCCAGAAAUGAUUGAAUACAGAAGUGAGGAAAAAGUGUAG
This 2478-nucleotide ribosomal RNA is filed under the name Triticum aestivum (bread wheat). RNAcentral's name for it is "partial small subunit ribosomal RNA". Lineage: Eukaryota; Viridiplantae; Streptophyta; Magnoliopsida; Poales; Poaceae. The record is from RNAcentral.